UGUUGCAGAGCUGCAUUAGCACGAGGGAAACUGAAGACCCAAGUGGAGAGCCUUGGCCAUGCGGUUUCUGUUCCUUGAUGGUACCCCUGCUGAGGAGGUGGGUGCUCCGCCUGUGAGUGUGGUGACACGGGGCAUCAGCUGGGCGCUGCUCAGCUCAUGGUGCUGCUGGGGGUAGUCUGCCAAGGCCUAGGGCCGCGGGCCUGAGAGCUCCUGCCCCUGGGCCAUGGGCUGAAGUUUCUGUAGCGAACGUGUGAGCGUGUUCAGGGGGGAAGCAAACAGCAAAACGUUGUUGCUGAAAUACACCUUUCUUUGACAAGUAAUGCUUUAUGGAAGAGUUGCUUUUUAAGAAAAUGUUUGUUUGUUUUUGGUGUGGGAGGAGGAAGGGGAAGAUGAACUCGGAUCUGGGAAGCAAACAACCCCCCUUUUUCCUGCGGCCAGAAAAAGGAGCGGAGAUGUGCAACGCUUUAAUUGCAUCUCCCUUUCUGCUUUUUGCCAACCGUCGGGAUGUUCGACUAGUGGAUGCUGGAGGAACGAAGCUGGAGUCCACUGUGGUGGUCAGUGGUUUAGAGGAUGCUGCUGCGGUUGACUUCCAGUAUUCACAAGGCAUCGUUUUCUGGACAGAUGUGAGUGAAGAAGCCAUCAAGCAAACUUACAUUAACCAAACUGGGAAUGUGGUACAGAAUGUCAUCAUUUCUGGUCUGGUUUCCCCGGAUGGCCUGGCAUGUGAUUGGAUUGGGAAAAAGCUUUACUGGACGGAUUCAGAAACCAAUAGAAUAGAAGUAGCUAAUCUCAAUGGAACAUCUAGAAAAGUCCUCUUCUGGCAAGAUCUUGAUCAGCCCAGGGCAAUAGCGUUGGAUCCUGCUCAUGGAUACAUGUAUUGGACUGACUGGGGGGAAACCCCUAGAAUAGAACGAGCAGGAAGGGAACGCNNNNNNNNNNNAAUUGUUGAUUCAGAUAUUUAUUGGCCAAAUGGACUCACAAUAGAUCUUGAUGAGCAGAAGCUUUACUGGGCUGAUGCAAAACUGAGUUUCAUUCAUAGAGCAAAUUUGGAUGGUUCCUUCAGGCAAAAAGUUGUUGAAGGUAGUCUUACUCAUCCGUUUGCACUGACAUUGUCUGGAGACACUUUGUAUUGGACGGACUGGCAGACACGCUCCAUUCAUGCCUGUAACAAAAGGACGGGGGAGAAAAGGAGAGAAAUACUGAGUGCCCUGUAUUCACCAAUGGACAUCCAGGUCUUGAGUCCAGACCGACAGCCAUACUUUCACACUCCGUGCGAAGAAAACAAUGGUGGUUGCUCCCAUCUGUGCCUGCUGUCUCCGAGAGACCCCUUCUACAGCUGUGCCUGUCCCACUGGUGUGCAGCUAGAAGAUGACGGCAGGACUUGCAAAUCAGGUGCUGAAGAAGUCUUGCUGCUUGCUAGAAGGACUGACUUGAGAAGGAUCUCCCUGGACAUGCCAGAUUUCACUGACAUUAUUCUGCAGAUAGACAAUAUCAGACACGCGAUUGCCAUAGACUAUGAUCCUGUGGAGGGCUAUAUCUACUGGACUGACGAUGAUGUCCGGGCAAUUCGUCGGGCCUACCUUGAUGGCUCAGGAGCACAGACUCUGGUAACCACAGAAAUCAACCAUCCAGAUGGUAUUGCUGUGGAUUGGGUGGCAAGGAACCUGUACUGGACUGACACUGGAACAGACCGCAUUGAAGUGACCCGCUUGAAUGGAACGUCAAGAAAGAUCCUUAUCUCAGAAAACCUAGAUGAGCCCCGAGCAAUAGUGCUCAAUCCUGUAAUGGGCUACAUGUAUUGGACAGACUGGGGUGAAAGUCCAAAGAUAGAAUGUGCUUAUCUGGAUGGCUCAGAGAGGAGAGUUUUGGUGAAUACGUCCCUAGGUUGGCCUAAUGGCUUGGCACUGGAUCUUGAAGAAGACAAACUUUACUGGGGAGAUGCGAAAACAGAUAAAAUUGAGGUCAUAAAUGUUGAUGGAACGAUGAGGAAAACCCUCCUAGAAGAUAAGCUUCCACAUAUAUUUGGGUUCACGCUGCUGGGAGACUACAUCUACUGGACUGACUGGCAGAGACGAAGCAUUGAAAGGGUGCACAAGAUAAGGGCUAGCAGAGACAUCAUUAUUGAUCAGCUACCAGACUUAAUGGGCCUUAAAGCAACAAGUGUUACCAAAGUGUUUGGAACUAAUCCCUGUGCGGAGAACAACGGAGGCUGCAGCCAUCUGUGUUUUUUUACACCCCAGGAGACCAGGUGUGCCUGUCCCAUUGGCCUUGAGCUGCUGAGUGACAUGAAGACUUGCAUCAUUCCUGAAGCCUUCUUAGUUUUCACCAGCCGAGCAGCGAUUCAUAGGAUUUCUCUCGAAACCAAUAAUAAUGAUGUUGCUAUUCCUCUUACGGGAGUCAAGGAGGCAUCUGCUCUGGAUUUUGAUGUGUCUGAUAACAGAAUCUAUUGGACUGAUGUUAGUUUGAAGACCAUAAGCCGGGCUUUCAUGAAUGGGAGCUCUGUUGAGCAUGUGAUUGAGUUUGGGCUAGAUUAUCCUGAGGGAAUGGCUGUGGACUGGAUGGGAAAGAACCUCUACUGGGCAGAUACUGGAACCAACCGAAUUGAAGUGGCCCGCCUGGAUGGACAGUUCAGGCAGGUUCUUGUGUGGAAGGACUUAGACAACCCAAGGUCUUUAGCUCUCGAUCCUACCAAAGGGUACAUGUACUGGACAGAAUGGGGAGGUAAACCUAGGAUUGUUCGGGCCUACAUGGAUGGAACAAACAGCAUCACGUUGGUGGAUAAAGUGGGUCGUGCCAAUGAUCUCACCAUUGAUUAUGCAGACCAAAGGCUAUAUUGGACUGACUUAGAUACAAGCAUGAUUGAGUCGUCGAAUAUGCUAGGACAAGAAAGAGAAAUCAUAGCAGAUGAUCUACCUCAUCCAUUUGGAUUAACCCAAUAUAGUGACUACAUCUACUGGACAGACUGGAAUCUUCACAGUAUAGAAAGAGCAGACAAGACCAAUGGGAAGAACAGGACGCUUAUUCAGGGCCAUCUGGAUUUUGUGAUGGAUAUAUUGGUCUUUCAUUCUUCGCGGCAGGAUGGCUUGAAUGAUUGUGUGCAAAACAAUGGCCACUGCGGCCACCUGUGCCUUGCCAUACCGAAUGGAUUUAGGUGCGGCUGUGCUGCUCAUUACACCUUGGAUCCCAACAGCAGGAACUGUAGCUCCCCUACCAGCUUCCUGUUGUUUAGCCAGAAGUCAGCGAUCAGUCGGAUGAUACCAGAUGACCAACAAAGUCCAGAUAUCAUCCUGCCUAUGCAUGGUCUAAGGAAUGUCAAGGCUAUAGAUUAUGAUCCCUUAGAUAAAUUGAUCUAUUGGGUGGAUGGACGUCAGAAUAUUAUAAAAAGAGCCAAAGAUGAUGGCACUCAGCCUUUCACUGUCAUGAGUACUCCAAACCAAAGCCAGAACCCGGAGAAGCAGCCACAUGACCUCAGCAUCGAUAUAUACAGCCACACUUUGUACUGGACCUGCGAGGCCACAAAUUCGGUCAACGUGCACAGGCUGAACGGCGAGUCGAUUGGAAUGGUGUUGCGAGGGGAUCAUGACAAGCCCAGAGCCAUUGUAGUGAACGCGGAGCGAGGGUACAUGUACUUCACUAACAUGCAAGAGCGAGCCCCCAAGAUUGAGCGUGCUGCCCUUGACGGCACAGAGAGGGAAGUGCUUUUUACAACCGGGUUGAUCCGGCCAGUAGCGCUGGUGAUUGACAACAAGCUUGGGAAGCUUUUCUGGGUGGAUGCAGAUCUGAAGCGCAUCGAAAGCUGUGACUUGUCAGGUGCUAAUCGUGUGACCUUGGAGGAUUCCAACAUCCUUCAGCCUAUGGGACUGACUGUGCUGGGUAAUCACUUGUAUUGGAUUGAUCGUCAGCAGCAGAUGAUUGAGAGAGUCGAGAAAACCAACGGGUACAAAAGGACUAGAAUUCAAGGCCGAAUUGCUCACCUAACAGGCAUUCAUGCAGUGGAAGAGCUUGAUAUGGAGGAAUUCUCUGCACAUCCAUGUUCCCGGGACAAUGGUGGGUGUUCACACAUCUGCAUUGCCAAAGGGGACGGGACUCCGAGAUGUUCGUGCCCAGAGCACCUUGUGCUUCUACAGAAUCUCUUAACGUGUGGAGAACCCCCGACCUGUUCCCCAGACCAGUUUACCUGUGCAACUGGAGAGAUUGACUGCAUCCCAAUGGCAUGGCGGUGUGAUGGAUUUCCCGAGUGUGAUGAUCAGAGUGAUGAAGACAGCUGCCCCAUCUGUUCUGCAUCCCAGUUCCAGUGUGAGAAAGGACAGUGUAUUGAUGCUCACUUGCGGUGUAAUGGAGAAAUUGACUGCCAAGAUAAAUCUGAUGAAGCAGACUGUGAUACAAUCUGUCUGCCCAAUCAGUUCCGAUGUGCCAGCGGCCAGUGCAUCCUCCUGAAGCAACAGUGUGACUCCUUUCCAGAUUGCAUUGAUGGUUCGGACGAGCUCAUGUGUGAAAAAUCAAAGCCAGCCUCAGAUGAGCCACAGCCACACAGUAGUGCCAUUGGGCCUGUCAUUGGUAUAAUACUGUCCCUUUUUGUCAUGGGAGGAAUGUAUUUUGUUUGCCAGCGAGUAGUGUGUCAGCGCUACGCCGGGCCCAACAGCCCUUUUCCGCAUGAGUAUGUCAGUGGCACCCCUCAUGUGCCUCUUAAUUUUAUUGCUCCAGGAAGUUCUCAACAUGGCACUUUUACCGGCAUCUCUUGUGGAAAGUCUAUGAUUAGUUCCAUGAGUCUCAUGGGAGGAAGCAGUGGUGCCCCCCUAUAUGACAGAAACCAUGUUACUGGAGCUUCUUCUAGUAGCUCAUCCAGCACGAAAGCCACUUUUUACCCACAGAUCUUGAAUCCACCUCCUUCCCCAGCAACCGAUCGCUCCCUGUAUAACACAGAGAUGUUUUAUUCCUCAAACAUUCCUUCAACCACGAGAUCUUACAGACCAUACCUUAUACGAGGGAUAGCUCCACCCACAACCCCGUGCAGCACAGAUGUGUGUGACAGUGACUACACUACUAGUCGAUGGAAGGCCAACAAAUACUACAUCGAUUUAAAUUCAGACUCAGACCCUUAUCCCCCUCCCCCAACACCUCGCAGCCAGUACAUGUCGGCAGAAGAAAGCUGUCCCCCAUCUCCUGCCACGGAACGAAGCUAUUUUCACCUCUAUCCCCCUCCGCCCUCUCCUUGUACAGACUCCUCAUGACCUCAACAGAAGGAACUUUCCU
Struthio camelus australis is the source of this 5253-nucleotide long non-coding RNA. Ensembl annotates it as LDL receptor related protein 5. The record is from Ensembl. Lineage: Eukaryota; Metazoa; Chordata; Aves; Struthioniformes; Struthionidae.